RNAcentral lists this ribosomal RNA (762 nucleotides) under Rhodococcus sp. 11_(MB)_6mbsf. RNAcentral's name for it is "bacterial SSU rRNA". It matches the Rfam family "Bacterial small subunit ribosomal RNA", at positions 78 to 857 of the family's 1533-position model. The record is from RNAcentral. Lineage: Bacteria; Bacillati; Actinomycetota; Actinomycetes; Mycobacteriales; Nocardiaceae.
CUUUCGGGGUACACGAGCGGCGAACGGGUGAGUAACACGUGGGUGAUCUGCCCUGCACUUCGGGAUAAGCCUGGGAAACUGGGUCUAAUACCGGAUAUGACCUCCUAUCGCAUGGUGGGUGGUGGAAAGAUUUAUCGGUGCAGGAUGGGCCCGCGGCCUAUCAGCUUGUUGGUGGGGUAAUGGCCUACCAAGGCGACGACGGGUAGCCGACCUGAGAGGGUGACCGGCCACACUGGGACUGAGACACGGCCCAGACUCCUACGGGAGGCAGCAGUGGGGAAUAUUGCACAAUGGGCGAAAGCCUGAUGCAGCGACGCCGCGUGAGGGAUGACGGCCUUCGGGUUGUAAACCUCUUUCAGCAGGGACGAAGCGCAAGUGACGGUACCUGCAGAAGAAGCACCGGCUAACUACGUGCCAGCAGCCGCGGUAAUACGUAGGGUGCAAGCGUUGUCCGGAAUUACUGGGCGUAAAGAGUUCGUAGGCGGUUUGUCGCGUCGUUUGUGAAAACCAGCAGCUCAACUGCUGGCUUGCAGGCGAUACGGGCAGACUUGAGUACUGCAGGGGAGACUGGAAUUCCUGGUGUAGCGGUGAAAUGCGCAGAUAUCAGGAGGAACACCGGUGGCGAAGGCGGGUCUCUGGGCAGUAACUGACGCUGAGNAACGAAAGCGUGGGUAGCGAACAGGAUUAAAUACCCUGGUAGUCACGCCGUAACGGUGGGCGCUAGGUGUGGGUUCCUUCCCGGAAUCCGUGCCGUAACUAACG